RNAcentral lists this ribosomal RNA (804 nucleotides) under Microbacterium oxydans. RNAcentral describes it as "bacterial SSU rRNA". It matches the Rfam family "Bacterial small subunit ribosomal RNA", at positions 46 to 862 of the family's 1533-position model. The record is from RNAcentral. Lineage: Bacteria; Bacillati; Actinomycetota; Actinomycetes; Micrococcales; Microbacteriaceae.
GCUUACACAUGCAAGUCGAACGGUGAAGCAGAGCUUGCUCUGUGGAUCAGUGGCGAACGGGUGAGUAACACGUGAGCAACCUGCCCCUGACUCUGGGAUAAGCGCUGGAAACGGCGUCUAAUACUGGAUAUGUGACGUGGCCGCAUGGUCUGCGUCUGGAAAGAAUUUCGGUUGGGGAUGGGCUCGCGGCCUAUCAGCUUGUUGGUGAGGUAAUGGCUCACCAAGGCGUCGACGGGUAGCCGGCCUGAGAGGGUGACCGGCCACACUGGGACUGAAACACGGCCCAAACUCCUACGGGAGGCAGCAGUGGGGAAUAUUGCACAAUGGGCGCAAGCCUGAUGCAGCAACGCCGCGUGAGGGAUGACGGCCUUCGGGUUGUAAACCUCUUUUAGCAGGGAAGAAGCGAAAGUGACGGUACCUGCAGAAAAAGCGCCGGCUAACUACGUGCCAGCAGCCGCGGUAAUACGUAGGGCGCAAGCGUUAUCCGGAAUUAUUGGGCGUAAAGAGCUCGUAGGCGGUUUGUCGCGUCUGCUGUGAAAUCCGGAGGCUCAACCUCCGGCCUGCAGUGGGUACGGGCAGACUAGAGUGCGGUAGGGGAGAUUGGAAUUCCUGGUGUAGCGGUGGAAUGCGCAAAUAUCAGGAGGAACACCGAUGGCGAAGGCAGAUCUCUGGGCCGUAACUGACGCUGAGGAGCGAAAGGGUGGGGAGAAAACAGGCUUAGAUACCCUGGUAGUCCACCCCGUAAACGUUGGGAACUAGUUGUGGGGUCCAUUCCACGGAUUCCGUGACGCACUUAACGCAUUA